RNAcentral lists this ribosomal RNA (459 nucleotides) under uncultured Phascolarctobacterium sp. Its description in RNAcentral is "partial 16S ribosomal RNA". It matches the Rfam family "Bacterial small subunit ribosomal RNA", at positions 341 to 792 of the family's 1533-position model. Lineage: Bacteria; Bacillati; Bacillota; Negativicutes; Acidaminococcales; Acidaminococcaceae. The record is from RNAcentral.
ACGGGAGGCAGCAGUGGGGAAUCUUCCGCAAUGGGCGAAAGCCUGACGGAGCAAUGCCGCGUGAGUGAUGAAGGGAUUCGUCCCGUAAAGCUCUUUUGUGUAUGACGAAUGUGCAGGGGGUGAACAAUCCUCUGUAAUGACGGUAGUACACGAAUAAGCCACGGCUAACUACGUGCCAGCAGCCGCGGUAAUACGUAGGUGGCGAGCGUUGUCCGGAAUUAUUGGGCGUAAAGAGCAUGUAGGCGGUUUCUUAAGUCUGGAGUGAAAAUGCGGGGCUCAACCCCGUAUGGCUCUGGAUACUGGGAGGCUUGAGUGCAGGAGAGGAAAGGGGAAUUCCCAGUGUAGCGGUGAAAUGCGUAGAUAUUGGGAGGAACACCAGUGGCGAAGGCGCCUUUCUGGACUGUGUCUGACGCUGAGAUGCGAAAGCCAGGGUAGCGAACAGGAUUAGAUACCCUGGUA